RNAcentral lists this long non-coding RNA (2822 nucleotides) under Nicotiana benthamiana. Its description in RNAcentral is "long non-coding RNA (NBEN_LNC042212)". Lineage: Eukaryota; Viridiplantae; Streptophyta; Magnoliopsida; Solanales; Solanaceae. The record is from RNAcentral.
AUUCAAUUACCCAACAACUAAUUAAUUCAAGUCAGUCAACAAUCGAUAUUCGAGUGAACUAAUACGGCCCUAGAAUUGCCAUCAACCAAGAUAUUGGGCCUAAUAUUAACCCUGAUAGGCAGAGGGCAGACCAAUAACACUUGGCCCAGGUCGAAAUCAACAAAAGUCACGAUGGGACAUGGGCCUUCAAUUCAUAUGCCAAUGCCCAAAGGCACCUGGGAAAUCUGAUAACCAAAACAGGUAAGAUGCAAUUGGAACUUGAUUCACAAAUACAAACGGGGCAAUUGUUUUCUAAUCAAACCACACAAAUCCUUGCCAUUAUAAACAUGAUGCGCUGAUAAAAACAAACCAUCCUCCUUUAUCACUAAAAUCCUAACGCCAUUAGAUCAAUACAAUUACAUAAAUGGCUAUACCACUACCAACCAAGCCAUAUAACUUCAAAUGUUAAACCAACAGGAUUGAACAAUACCACAAAGUUUAGAAGACCACUUAAACAACACCACAGUUUAUGAAUUUAGUCCCAUGUCUCAAUUUUAGUCUAUAUAAUUACAACAGCUAGCAAACUAAACAAACUAAACUACAUUAAAUGUAAUAUCAUGAAAUCAUCUGGAAUAGAGUUGAGGGCAAUUUCCAUUUCACUUCAGUUGAGGAGCUACAUUAAACAAUCAGAGAAGUGUACAUGGGUGCAGAAAUUCAACAAGAAGAAGAAGUCAGCAACAAAGAGAGUAGCAACCAAAUAACAGCUCAGAAUUGUUUAUGACGAUCCAGGAGGAUUUUAGAAAUCAGACAAAAUCAGAAAAUCAAUCAACAUCCCCUGAAUGCAUCAACUAAAUUCCCAAAUGACCCAGGGCCUUUUCAGUAGCCUCAAAGAAACCAAGUUCAAUUCAAACACACUGAUUCCAACUUCAUAUCAACCCAGAAAUGUUUCAAAAUGGAGCAAUAGCAAUAGACCACUUCAGUACACAAUUGAAAAAUCCCAAUGACCCAUGAAUGAAACCAAUAUCAGACCAAGACUAUUCGAAACCACCCAGACCAACUCAAAACUGGACUGGAACCAUUUUUUGAAAUUGCCAAAAGGUAGACACAGCCUAAAAUAGUCUUGCUUGAACCCCAAAAUCCCUUGGAAUCAAUCAACAACACCCCAAAACUUUGAAUGAUCAGAAUCCAAACGAAAAAUAUAGAGCAAUAACUAGAAGAUAAAAUUCAGACAGAAUUCCAAUCAAACAAUAACUUUCUUUGGUUUUCGACAGUUUUAUAUUGUUUUUUAUUUUUCUUUUGAAGAAUGCUAAGAUCUAAGGGAAUUUCAGAAUUUCAGAUUUGGAAGUUUGGAGAAUAUUUUUUGGGGAGGAAUUUUGGACUGCCAAACUUGUGAAGUAAGGCAAUGAUGAUGCCUAUUUAUAAGACAAAAGAAAUGCACAUCAGAUUUUCAUCUUUAGCAAACCGUCUCCCCCCCUAUUUUUAUCUAAACCCCUUAUUUAUUAACUUCCUACCCAAGUAAGUAUUACUAAAGAGCUAAAAGCUACAUUUUUAUCCCACUCUAGAAGAAUCUAGGGUGCUCUUUUGGCUAAACAAUUCCCAAACUAACCCUUCCUUGUCUUGAAUUAACUAUUUCUAAAGCUGCUGCCAUUUUCCAUACCUAAAUUGCCCUUCCAACAACCUAAAAAUUACAACAUAGCCUAAGAACCCAAAACCUUACCCUAGUUAUGACUUUUACCCAAAUUAAAUCACACAAAACUGCUUAGCAAUAUCCAAACUCUCUAUUGACUAAGAUAAAACACCAUUGCAAAUCAAAAGCAAUUAAACCUAUAAUAAUGAACACUGAACUGAACCAAAUAUCAAAGCAUAUUCGAAGUAAAACCACAAGGAAAAGAUAAAGCGGUUGCGAGCGGAACGAAAACCAAUAUUAAAAUAAAAAUGAAAUUAACACAAAACUAAACGUAAGUCAAAUAAAGAAGAAAACUCACGGAUUUUGCUCUAAACUCGAUUGGCCCUCAAAUUUGGCUUCGAGUUAAUGUUAUAUAUAUAUAUAUAUAUAUAUAUAUAUAUAUAUAAACUCUCUAUUGACUAAGAUAAAACACCAUUGCAAAUCAAAAGCAAUUAAACCUAUAAUAAUGAACACUGAACUGAACCAAAUAUCAAAGCAUAUUCGAAGUAAAACCACAAGGAAAAGAUAAAGCGGUUGCGAGCGGAACGAAAACCAAUAUUAAAAUAAAAAUGAAAUUAACACAAAACUAAACGUAAGUCAAAUAAAGAAGAAAACUCACGGAUUUUGCUCUAAACUCGAUUGGCCCUCAAAUUUGGCUUCGAGUUAAUGUUAUAUAUUUAUUCCAUGUGAAAUAAACAUAUAACAUUAAUUUAAAACCAAAUGAACCUUUGGAUUCUUCAAAACAGCCUCAAAGCAGACCCAACUUCAUGAACCUUAGAUUUGAAAUUCGCUCAGUUCCACUUGGAUUCGAGGGAUUUUGGUUAUGGAUUAAGGGAGAGGGAGGUCAGGGGAAAGUAUGGUAUGAAUUUGAAUGAGUUUGAAUGAUUUAAAGGUUUUGGCGGACUUUCAGAUUUAAAAUUUGAAGGGAUUGACUGGGUUUUGUGAGAAUUUAAGCUUGGAAAUGGAAAGAGGAUGAGAAGAGGGUCAUGGGUGAUAAUUUGGAGUCGUUUGGAUCUCUGCCGCCGUCGUCGAAGAUUUCCGACCGGUGGCGUUAGGGUGGCGGGUGGUGGAGCCAGCGGAGACAUCGUACGAGGAAGGCAACCUGGUCUUUUGAUUUAAUUAAAGAAUCUAUCCUUUAUAUAAUUAGUCAGCAAAAAUUAAGGGUCGUUGGAUGAGG